This 807-nucleotide ribosomal RNA is filed under the name uncultured Gammaproteobacteria bacterium. RNAcentral's name for it is "bacterial SSU rRNA". It matches the Rfam family "Bacterial small subunit ribosomal RNA", at positions 57 to 861 of the family's 1533-position model. Lineage: Bacteria; Pseudomonadati; Pseudomonadota; Gammaproteobacteria. The record is from RNAcentral.
GCAAGUCGAACGGAAACAUGUCUAGCUUGCUAGAUGAUGUCGAGUGGCGGACGGGUGAGUAAUGCUUGGGAACUUGCCUUUGCGAGGGGGAUAACAGUUGGAAACGACUGCUAAUACCGCAUAAUGUCUUCGGACCAAACGGGGCUUCGGCUCCGGCGCAAAGAGAGGCCCAAGUGAGAUUAGCUAGUAGGUGAGGUAAAGGCUCACCAAGGCAACGAUCUCUAGCUGUUCUGAGAGGAAGAUCAGCCACACUGGGACUGAGACACGGCCCAGACUCCUACGGGAGGCAGCAGUGGGGAAUAUUGCACAAUGGGGGAAACCCUGAUGCAGCCAUGCCGCGUGUGUGAAGAAGGCCUUCGGGUUGUAAAGCACUUUCAGUUGUGAGGAAAAGUUAGUAGUUAAUACCUGCUAGCCGUGACGUUAACAACAGAAGAAGCACCGGCUAACUCCGUGCCAGCAGCCGCGGUAAUACGGAGGGUGCGAGCGUUAAUCGGAAUUACUGGGCGUAAAGCGCACGCAGGCGGUUUGUUAAGCUAGAUGUGAAAGCCCCGGGCUCAACCUGGGACGGUCAUUUAGAACUGGCAGACUAGAGUCUUGGAGAGGGGAGUGGAAUUCCAGGUGUAGCGGUGAAAUGCGUAGAUAUCUGGAGGAACAUCAGUGGCGAAGGCGACUCCCUGGCCAAAGACUGACGCUCAUGUGCGAAAGUGUGGGUAGCGAACAGGAUUAGAUACCCUGGUAGUCCACACCGUAAACGCCGUCUACUAGCUGUUUGUGGCUUUAAGCCGUGAGUAGCGAAGCUAACGCGAU